This 236-nucleotide unclassified non-coding RNA is filed under the name uncultured fungus. Its description in RNAcentral is "sequence contains ITS2". Lineage: Eukaryota; Fungi. The record is from RNAcentral.
AACGCACAUUGCACCCUCUGGUAUUCCGGAGGGUAUGCCUGUUCGAGCGUCAUUGCAGCCCUCAAGCUCUGCUUGGUGUUGGGCCUGGCUCCUGCAGCCGGCCUCAAAGCGAGUGGCGGCGUCGGCCGACCCCGAGCACAGUAGUUUUCUUGCUCUGGGGAUUCGGCCUGCUGCCUGCCAGCAAGCCACUUUCAAUGGUUGACCUCGGAUCAGGUAGGGAUACCCGCUGAACUUAA